Pollicipes pollicipes is the source of this 235-nucleotide long non-coding RNA. RefSeq lists it as uncharacterized. The record is from RefSeq and is a predicted model, not a curated record. The transcript is spliced from 3 exons. Lineage: Eukaryota; Metazoa; Arthropoda; Thecostraca; Pollicipedomorpha; Pollicipedidae.
UCGGUGGAGGCAGCAGACGGCGGCGGAGGGCUGCAGGUUCAUCAUGAAGCAGCACGGCCUGCCGGAGCGGGAGUGGCAGAUGGGCAAGACCAAGAUGUUCCUGCGCCACUGUGUGCACGAGCCGCUGGAGGACAAGCGCACGGCGCUGGUGCACCGGUCGGCUGUGUGCGCGCAGAAGAUCUACCGCGGCUACGUCCGGCGGAAAGCGUACCGGGAGAAGCUGGAGGCGGUGCGC